GGAAUAAUAAGAUAAGGGCUUGGUUGGAUUGUGGUGGUUUCUAGAAUUGAGGUAAUGAUGAAUCGGGAUACUUGGGGGGCUACGAAUUUAAUUGUCAGAGGUGAAAUUCUUGGAUUUGUUAAAGACGGACUACUGUGAAAGUAUUUGGCAAGAAUGUUUUCAUUGAUCAAGAAUGAAAGUUAGGGGGUCGAAGAUGAUCAGAUACCGUCUUAGUCUUAACCAUUUUUUCUAUGCCACUAGAGAUUGGAGGUCGUUCUUUUUAUGACUCCUUCAGCACCUUAUGAGAAAUCAAAGUCUUUGGGUUCCGGGGGGAGUAUGGUCGCAAGGCUGAAACUUAAAGGAAUUGACGGAAGGGCACCACCAGGAGUGGAGCCUGGGGCUUAAUUUGACUCAACACGGGGAAACU
RNAcentral lists this ribosomal RNA (406 nucleotides) under uncultured dinoflagellate. RNAcentral describes it as "bacterial SSU rRNA". It matches the Rfam family "Eukaryotic small subunit ribosomal RNA", at positions 811 to 1215 of the family's 1831-position model. The record is from RNAcentral. Lineage: Eukaryota; Dinophyceae.